RNAcentral lists this ribosomal RNA (720 nucleotides) under uncultured Alphaproteobacteria bacterium. Its description in RNAcentral is "bacterial SSU rRNA". It matches the Rfam family "Bacterial small subunit ribosomal RNA", at positions 122 to 878 of the family's 1533-position model. The record is from RNAcentral. Lineage: Bacteria; Pseudomonadati; Pseudomonadota; Alphaproteobacteria.
GAAUCUGCCUUUUGGUUUGGAAUAACACGGGGAAACUUGUGCUAAUACCGGAUAAGUCUUUACGGAGAAAGCUUUAUGCACCAUUGGAUGAGCCUGCACUUGAUUAGUUUGUUGGUGGGGUAAUGGCCUACCAAGACUGUGAUCAAUAGCUGAUUUGAGAGGAUGAUCAGCCACAUUGGGACUGAGACACGGCCCAAACUCCUACGGGAGGCAGCAGUGGGGAAUCUUGCACAAUGGAGGAAACUCUGAUGCAGCGAUGCCGCGUGAGUGAAGAAGGCCCUUGGGUUGUAAAGCUCUUUCGUCGGGGAAGAAAAUGACUGUACCCGAAUAAGAAGGUCCGGCUAACUUCGUGCCAGCAGCCGCGGUAAUACGAAGGGACCUAGCGUAGUUCGGAAUUACUGGGCUUAAAGAGUUCGUAGGUGGUUGAAAAAGUUGGUGGUGAAAUCCCAGAGCUUAACUCUGGAACUGCCAUCAAAACUUUUCAGCUAGAGUAUGAUAGAGGAAAGCAGAAUUUCUAGUGUAGAGGUGAAAUUCGUAGAUAUUAGAAAGAAUACCAAUUGCGAAGGCAGCUUUCUGGAUCAUUACUGACACUGAGGAACGAAAGCAUGGGUAGCGAAGAGGAUUAGAUACCCUCGUAGUCCAUGCCGUAAACGAUGUGUGUUAGACGUUGGAAAUUUAUUUUCAGUGUCGCAGGGAAACCGAUAAACACACCGUCCUGGG